This 404-nucleotide ribosomal RNA is filed under the name uncultured bacterium. Its description in RNAcentral is "partial 16S ribosomal RNA". It matches the Rfam family "Bacterial small subunit ribosomal RNA", at positions 28 to 526 of the family's 1533-position model. The record is from RNAcentral.
GAUGAACGCUAGCUACAGGCUUAACACAUGCAAGUCGAGGGACCGGCGCACGGGUGAGUAACACGUAUCCAACCUGCCCUUUAAUAGGGGAUAGCCUUUCGAACGAAAGAUUAAUACACGAUGUGAAGGAUGGGGAUGAGUUCCAUUAGGUUGUUGGUGAGGUAACGGCUCACCAAGACUUCGAUGGAUAGGGGUUCUGAGAGGAAGGUCCCCAACAUUGGAACUGGGACACGGUCCAAACUCCUACGGGAGGCAGCAGUGAGGAAUAUUGGUCAAUGGGCGUUAGCCUGAACCAGCCAAGUAGCGUGAAGGAUGAAGGCUUAUGGGUCGUAAACUUCUUUUAUAUAAGAAUAUGUAUUAUAUGAAUAAGGAUCGGCUAACUCCGUGCCAGAAGCCGCGUAUAC